GGGGAUUUAGCUCUGUGGUAGAGCAUUUGCCUAGCAAGCGCAAGGCCCUGGGUUCGGUCCCCAGCUCCG
Molecule: transfer RNA, 69 nt
Filed under: Rattus norvegicus (Norway rat)
Lineage: Eukaryota; Metazoa; Chordata; Mammalia; Rodentia; Muridae
Rfam family: tRNA
About the family: Transfer RNA (tRNA) molecules are approximately 80 nucleotides in length. Their secondary structure includes four short double-helical elements and three loops (D, anti-codon, and T loops).
Source: Rfam by way of RNAcentral